GAUGAACGCUAGCGGCAGGCCUAAUACAUGCAAGUCGAGGGGCAGCGCGGUAGCAAUACUGGCGGCGACCGGCGCACGGGUGCGUAACACGUAUGCAACCUACCUUCAACUGGAGGAUAGCCCGGGGAAACUCGGAUUAAUACUCCAUAACACAGGGAUCCCGCAUGGGAAUAUUGGUAAAGCUACGGCGGUUGAAGAUGGGCAUGCGUUCGAUUAGCUAGUUGGUGUAGGUAACGGCUCACCAAGGCUACGAUCGAUAGGGGGUCUGAGAGGAUGAUCCCCACACUGGUACUGAGAUACGGACCAGACUCCUACGGGAGCAGCAGUAGGGAAUAUGGU
Molecule: ribosomal RNA, 339 nt
Filed under: uncultured bacterium
Lineage: Bacteria
Description: bacterial SSU rRNA
Rfam family: Bacterial small subunit ribosomal RNA
Source: RNAcentral